CUAGCAUGUGAAGCUCUCGUAGUUAAAUCGUGCGAAGGCGAAAACUUCAAAUCUUCUUGCACGUAUCUUUUCUUCGAAUAAUAAGGAAGAUAGAAUGUCGAUCUCAGAUUUCCGCAAGAAGAAACUUUUGUUCCUGUUCAAUGUAUUUUUUGAUGUGAAUCAAAGCGGCGAAAUUGAUGUGAAGGAUUUUGAAUUGGCCAUUGAGGUA
This is a long non-coding RNA of Teleopsis dalmanni, 208 nucleotides long. RefSeq lists it as uncharacterized. The transcript has 3 exons. The record is from RefSeq and is a predicted model, not a curated record. Lineage: Eukaryota; Metazoa; Arthropoda; Insecta; Diptera; Diopsidae.